Pelobates cultripes (western spadefoot toad) is the source of this 183-nucleotide non-coding RNA. NCBI's taxonomy places the organism in Eukaryota, Metazoa, Chordata, Amphibia, Anura, Pelobatidae. The record is from the annotation of a GenBank genome assembly.
CAUGCUAGAGCACUUUUUCUAUGUGCUCCCCAACAAGAAGGCAACCGCGCAUUCGUAUGUCAAUCCAUAUCAACUUUCGAUGCCAUUAACUGCGCCUACCAUGGUGACCACGGGCAACGGGAAAUCAGGGUUCCAUUCCAUACAGGGACCCUGACAAAUGGCUACCACGUGCAAGGAAGGCAG